Molecule: ribosomal RNA, 415 nt
Filed under: Escherichia coli
Lineage: Bacteria; Pseudomonadati; Pseudomonadota; Gammaproteobacteria; Enterobacterales; Enterobacteriaceae
Description: partial 23S ribosomal RNA
Rfam family: Bacterial large subunit ribosomal RNA
Source: RNAcentral
GAGCCGAAGGGAAACCGAGUCUUAACUGGGCGUUAAGUUGCAGGGUAUAGACCCGAAACCCGGUGAUCUAGCCAUGGGCAGGUUGAAGGUUGGGUAACACUAACUGGAGGACCGAACCGACUAAUGUUGAAAAAUUAGCGGAUGACUUGUGGCUGGGGGUGAAAGGCCAAUCAAACCGGGAGAUAGCUGGUUCUCCCCGAAAGCUAUUUAGGUAGCGCCUCGUGAAUUCAUCUCCGGGGGUAGAGCACUGUUUCGGCAAGGGGGUCAUCCCGACUUACCAACCCGAUGCAAACUGCGAAUACCGGAGAAUGUUAUCACGGGAGACACACGGCGGGUGCUAACGUCCGUCGUGAAGAGGGAAACAACCCAGACCGCCAGCUAAGGUCCCAAAGUCAUGGUUAAGUGGGAAACGAUG